GAUGUGGCGGAACUGGUAGACGCCCUGGAUUUAGGUUCCAGUGCCGAAAGGCGUGGGGGUUCGAGUCCCUUCAUC
Molecule: transfer RNA, 75 nt
Filed under: Mesorhizobium sp. M7A.F.Ca.CA.002.04.1.1
Lineage: Bacteria; Pseudomonadati; Pseudomonadota; Alphaproteobacteria; Hyphomicrobiales; Phyllobacteriaceae
Description: tRNA-Leu
Rfam family: tRNA
About the family: Transfer RNA (tRNA) molecules are approximately 80 nucleotides in length. Their secondary structure includes four short double-helical elements and three loops (D, anti-codon, and T loops).
Source: RNAcentral